AACGAACGCUGGCGGCAUGCCUAACACAUGCAAGUCUAACGAGACCUUCGGGUCUAGUGGGGCCCGGGUGCGUAACGCGUGGGAACCUGCCCUUAGGUUCGGAAUAACUCCCCGAAAGGGGUGCUGAUACCGGAUAAUGUCUUCGGAACAAAGAUUUAUCGCCAUUGGUUGGGCCCGCGUUGGAUUAGCUAGUUGGUAGGGUAACAGCCUAACAAGGCGCCGAUCCAUAGCUGGUCUCAGAAGCUGAUCAGCCACGCUGGGACUGAGGCACGGCCCAGAUGCCUACGAGCGGCAGCAGUGGUGAAUAUUGGAGAAUGGGCUAAGGCCUGAUCCAGCAAUGCCGCGUGAGUGAUGAAGGCAUGACGGUUGUAAAGCCCUUUUACCCGGGAUGAUAAUGAGAGUACCGGGAGAAUAAGCCCCGGCUAACUCCGUG
Molecule: ribosomal RNA, 433 nt
Filed under: uncultured bacterium
Lineage: Bacteria
Description: partial 16S ribosomal RNA
Rfam family: Bacterial small subunit ribosomal RNA
Source: RNAcentral